Non-coding RNA from Monodelphis domestica (gray short-tailed opossum), 2459 nucleotides. The record is from RefSeq and is a predicted model, not a curated record. NCBI's taxonomy places the organism in Eukaryota, Metazoa, Chordata, Mammalia, Didelphimorphia, Didelphidae.
GGAUACGCCGCGCCGAAGGGUGGGCGGGUGGAGGGAGCUGGCCGAGGGCCAGCCAGCUCAGAAUUAGCUCAUUGUUCUACAGAAUCAGCACAGGCCACCCAAGCCCAACCUAAGGGGGAGGAAGGGGAAGGGGAAAGAGACCGACGAACAGAGACAGUGACAGUAACAGACUCAAGAGGCAGACAGACGUACGCGCGUACACACACGCGUGCACACGCACCCGGGGAGGAGAGAAAGAAAGAGUGGUAGAGAUAGUCCCCCCCCCCCCUUUUUUCUAAGACUGCUCCUCUUCUUGGAAGUAGGGUCAGGUCUCCCCCCCUUCUAUCUCCCUCCCUCCUCCCUUCUUCCUCUUCCCCCUCCCCCACCACUUUCUAGCGUGGUGCCCCUUUUCAUCCACAUUUGUGUUUCAGGUGUAGAGAGGACAGAAAGUGAACAGGGAGCAGGGGCUUUUGUCUAUUGACUUUCCUGGACUAAAGAGAAAACUGGUGCAGUCCCAAAACUGUUAAGAUUCUCAAAAUGGUCUGUCACCCAAAACUGACAGUUUGGAUUGGUCAAGACUCAUUUCCAACUAAUCAAGAGGAUGAAAGAUUUCUCAAGGAAAACCUUCCAGUUCCAAGGGAAGUAAAUCGAAAAAAGCAAGAUGAGAUUGCAGCUACAUCGCUGAUUCUGCUCAGUGGCAGUGAUGGACAAUACUCCACAAGAAUCAAUUACCUCUACUCUUUUUAAUCAUAAUUCCUCCAUUUGUAUUGCAUAUCAUUUAUGGGUAUUGAUGAAGUCAUAGUGUCAUAUAUGGAAAUUGUUUCUGUGUACAAUCAUCAAGUAUAAGAAGAAACUAUGGGACUCUGAGCCUUCCUUUAGAGAAUUACAGUGGACAAAUAUGUAUCAUAAACCAGUUUUUAUCAUUCUGACUUCAGUGAAAACUCAGAAUUUCACACUGUGAAUCCACGUUUAUAAACAUUAGAGGUGGGCCUUUAGGCCUGGUUCUCCUACAACAUUGUCUUCUACUAUUCACCCUUUUACUGCUCAUAUGUAACUGGUAAAUUCUACUUCCCACUCACAUAGCUCCCAACUGCUCCUUGCAGAGGCUGAGAGUCCCCCCCCCUUUUUUUUUCUUUUAGAUGUAACAGGACUAGUAGUUUAUGUUCAUCAAUUGUCUGUAUAUCUAUAUUUUAUCCAUGUACUCUUUUGAUGUAUAGAAGUAGUUUGAAACUCAUUGUUUCCUUGUGGUUAGUGAUUGAGAUGCUGCCACAGGAUUUGAGACACUGAUGAAUGGUGCUAUUUUGGACUUUAAACAUGCUCCUUGGCAAGGUAGCUCUGAUGGAGUUUUUUUUUUUUCCAUGUCUUAAGAAGGUGUUGGUACUUUGUUUUCUUGAAUGUUGUUCUUUAGAUUGGACUGACGUUUUCUUGUGUCUUCAGUGUGGCUUUCUUAUUCAGUGUUGUAGGGUGAGUGAAUAUUACUAAAGCUUGUGAAGCACUGACAUUACAUCAGAGUGUGCUCACAAUGCAGUUGUAGCGGGAGCAACCACAAAACUGUAAUUUCUUUAUAAAUCUCCUUUCUGCACCCUUGCCUGCCUAACUUAAAGAAAAGAGAAGCAAUAAUUUUACAGGAGUUUUAAUGAAACUUCUUUUAAUUACUCUUUUUGUUUGGAAGACAUUUGGGAAAAGGGAUAAGUUUUUAAAUGUCCUCUUUAAAAUCCAUAGGAAUAAGACAAUUAUUCCUUCCCUAAAAAAUUAAAAAGGAGUGUUUCUUUUUUUUUUAAUGGCAGAGCAGAUAUUAGCAAUCUUAACAUGAUAGAGAUUGUACAUUUUUGUUCUUGUUCCCAGUGAAACUGACAAAAAAAGUAAACCAAAUAAUGCCAUCUACUCAUGAAAUGUUAUGUUAUCCAUGGUCUGAAAGCCCACCUUAAUUUUUUAUAUAAUUCUGUCUUUUUAGCUCUUCCUUUGACAGGGCAGGUCUUGCUCUGAACUAUUUAGCUUCUGGCUGUUAAAUACCAAUGCAUGCACUUAUUUCCUUCUCUUCCUUUUCAUAAUUCCCUUGUCUCUUGUCCCUCUCGUUGUUUCACCUUUCUUGUGUGUUUUCCCCCCCACCCUCUUUUUUGUUAGUUUAGGUUAUUCCAGCUGUGCUAUAUAUAGAGGAAGAAACAAUAUUCAUUCAGCAGUUAUAGCAUUUAUGAAUUGUUACAGUUAUAUAUUGCUGGAAAUACAGGCUUUUUUGUAUGAUGUGAUCUUUAAUAAUGCACUAUAAGUACCCAUUGUAUUUCAACUAUUUUAGUUGAGUUUGUUCAAUAAAUAUGAAAACUCUAAGGGUAACUUUACUCAUCUUCGAGGAGUCCUGUCAUUGAAUGUUGUGUCUUGGUACAUCAUUGUUACUUCAUAUGUGCCAAAUCAGGCUAUAGGCAUAAAAAUACCAAAUAAGAAGUCUCAAAGAUAUUGAAUAAAGUCCGUCUCCUUUUUUGUUU